CUGAGACAGGGCUAAAUUCCAUGACCCUGGGAUCAUGACAUGAGCCAAAAUCAAGAGUCAGACAUUCAACCAACUGAGCCACCCAGGCACCCCCGGAAAAAUGGUCUUACAAAUCAGUCGAAGCUGUGAAUGUACAAAGUGGCCACUCCAGGAAUUAGCAAACAUAUGACCAUGGCAGCAAUUGCAGGGACAAUAUCCAACCAUCUAUGAGGGAAACCCACGAGGCUUCAAGAUUUAAAGUCAGUCAGCUCAACAGACCAUGACAAGACUUGAAUCUUCUUGAUAAAUACAAAAACACAUUAAGAAGCUGUUUGAUGGGGCUGUGUCGGGAAUGGCUUUGAGUGAAACUUUGAUUAUCUAAGGCAUCUAAUUCCUAAACAAAUAAAAAUAUCUUUUAUGUUUCUCAAUAUUUUGAAAUAUUGUAAUUAUAAAGAUAGCUUAGGAACAUGGUGAAAGAUAUUUUCAGAGUCAUGUAGCCAUAUCUUUAAUUACUGGUAUUCUGUAUAACACUAUGUAUCACUAUCUAAUGAUUUGAUGUUAUGCAAGUUUUGGUAUCAUUAUUUUUCUACAAGAUUGGAUAACCAGUAUGUGACUUUUGAUCUUAACAAAUAAUUUAAAUAACUUUUCUAUAAUAUCGUAUAAUAAUGCUUACAAAAUCACACAUGAUGUAUUAUGGAUGAGGCAACACACAUUUUGAGGCAACGUACAUUUUGCUGUAAAUUCUUAUUAAUAUAAUAGAAGUCACAGUAAUUUGAAAUAAAAAUUAAUAUCUCUACCCAAAGAUAAUUAAUAAGAUUUUUUUACUUAUAAUAAUUAAUUUUGUAUGUCUUUCAAAGUACAGUUAUUUCAGUUCAGAUAAAAUGGCCAAAAAGGUAGUUUAAUCACAUAAUUAAGUAAAGAAUGGGGUUUGUGAAUCAAGCAAUAUGAGCUAACAAGAAUCUAAACUAUUUUGUGACCCGCCUCCCCAUCUUGCCUCUCUGGAGAUUUCAGAUAACGUCUGUCUGCUAAAUUUGUACUGGAGAUCCUCACAAUCAGAUGACAUAAGGAAUAUUCUAAGUAAUGUGAAUUAUCUUUGUCACCACAGAUUCUAUCUGCUUCUAGAACAUAUAGACACUAGAAUAGACUGAUCAUGGCAAAUUCAGCUAUGGAAUGGCCAAAAAAACAAAGAAACAAAAAAUCUUCCACACAGAAAUAAAACCAUACUGAAACCGAAAUAAAACUGAAAAAGAAAGUAACAUUCGAUUUUGAAAAAACUAUUGAGCAUUUCCUCUUAGGUAGUCAUUGCGUUUACAAGGCCACCAGAGUGCUACUGGCUCCAUUAUCUUAAUUUUCUCAUAGCAAUGAUUCAUUCACAUUUCCUUGUUCAAUCCUCUUAGAUGAGUGGCAUGAGCCAGAGAGAUGCCCUGAAGUGUGAUUAGGAAAACUUUAGCCCACAAAACAUAGUUAUACAUUUCUUGAAGGAUUGAACUCAUGUCUUCUGGUCUCCUUAAUAUCAGGUUCCAAAGAACCUUCAUAACUGGCCAAAUAUUACCAUUCUACAAAGUUAAUUAAACUAUUAUAUCCUUCAAGACUUUAAAAGGACUCUUUAUGGCUUCAACCCUCAAAGUCCUCUGUAUUUAAUAACAAAUUUUAAGAACAUUGGGUGCACGGAAAUUCCCAUUUAAUUCUGACAAGUGAUACACUUCAUUCUAGGUUCGUGCCAGAUAAAAGGCAGAUCACAAUAAGAAAUGUUUUUCUUUCAGAGGAAAAUACUUAUGCUAGGCAAUCUCUCGUUGGUGAGCCUUUAUUUUCUUUACUUCUUUUUUAAAAAAUUUUUAAAUGUUUAUUUAUUUUUGAGAGGUAGAGACAGAGCGAGAGCAGGGGAGGGGCAGA
This is a long non-coding RNA of Leopardus geoffroyi (Geoffroy's cat), 1872 nucleotides long. RefSeq lists it as uncharacterized. Lineage: Eukaryota; Metazoa; Chordata; Mammalia; Carnivora; Felidae. The transcript is spliced from 3 exons. The record is from RefSeq and is a predicted model, not a curated record.